CCUACGGGAGGCAGCAGUAGGGAAUAUUGCUCAAUGGGGGAAACCCUGAAGCAGCAACGCCGCGUGGGAGAUGAAGGUUUUAGGAUUGUAAACUCCUUUUGUUAGAGGAGAUUAUGACGGUAUCUAACGAAUAAGCACCGGCUAACGCCGUGCCAGCAGCCGCCGUAAUACGGAGGGUGCAAGCGGUACUCGGAAUCACUGGGCGUAAAGAGUGCGUUGGCGGGGUUAUAAGGCAGAUGUGAAAUCCUGUAGCUUAACCAUAGAACUGCAUUUGAAACUGUUACUCUGGAGUGUGGGAGAGGUAUGUGGAAUGCUUGGUGUAGGGGUAAAAUCCGUAGAUAUCAAGAGGAAUACUCAUUGCGAAGGCGACCUGCUGGAACAUUACUGACGCUGAUGCACGAAAGCGUGGGGAGCAAACAGGAUUAGAUACCCUUGUAGUC
Molecule: ribosomal RNA, 440 nt
Filed under: uncultured bacterium
Lineage: Bacteria
Description: partial 16S ribosomal RNA
Rfam family: Bacterial small subunit ribosomal RNA
Source: RNAcentral